This 27-nucleotide non-coding RNA is filed under the name Rattus norvegicus (Norway rat). Lineage: Eukaryota; Metazoa; Chordata; Mammalia; Rodentia; Muridae. The record is from RNAcentral.
UCACAUAUGCCGAGCGAGGUGAGGGAG